GCACAGGUGCUGCAUGGCUGUCGUCAGCUCGUGUCGUGAGAUGUUCGGUUAAGUCCGCUAACGAGCGCAACCCUCGCUGUGUGUUAUAUGUGUCACACGGGACUGCCGGUCUUAAGCCGGAGGAAGGUGGGGAUGAUGUCAAGUCAGCAUGGCCUUUAUAUCCUGGGCUACACACACGCUACAAUGGCCAACACAAUAGGUUGCUAAGCCGCGAGGUGGCGCCAAUCCAUAAAGUUGGUCUCAGUUCAGAUUGUAGGCUGCAACCCGCCUGCAUGAAGAUGGAGUUGCUAGUAACCGCAGGUCAGCUAUACUGCGGUGAAUACGUUCCCGGGGCUU
Molecule: ribosomal RNA, 336 nt
Filed under: uncultured Leptolinea sp.
Lineage: Bacteria; Bacillati; Chloroflexota; Anaerolineae; Anaerolineales; Anaerolineaceae
Description: bacterial SSU rRNA
Rfam family: Bacterial small subunit ribosomal RNA
Source: RNAcentral